CUUCAAAGCAGGUGUCCCUGCAGAGACAGAGCUGGAAAAUACUGGAGGAGGGAACCGCAGGUAGAUGGGAUGAGAGACGGGGGGGAGGGGGGACUUCCUCGGCAAAGUGGGGACAAGCCUUUCACAGCAGGAACAGGACGGAGGACAUGAAGGGAGAGACAUACCUAGAGGCAAAGAGGAAGGCUUUGCCUGUACAAAAAAAAAAAAAAAAGUGGAGAUUCAGUUUUGUCUUUUAUAAUAAAAAAGGAGCUGAGAUCCUCAAGUUAAGGACAUGAAGUCCUGAGUUUGGAGGCUUGAGAAAGGCAUAGUUUGUAAUAAGCCUGAGUGAGGUAUCCUAGCAGAGCAAGAGAAGCAAAGAAAUCUUGACCCAGCAGGCAGAUCUGGGGAAGGAGGGUGGGAAAUCAGGGGUGCUCAGCAAGACAGAUAUUUAUAUGUAGGGGAGGCGACUGCUAGCUCAGUCUCUCUGCUACUCAGCCCCCUGGUUCUUGUGUGAGAACUCCAAGUUCUGGGCACUCUGGGAACUGUCCUAUUCACCUAUAAGUUAUUCUUUCUCCUUGUCCAGCCACUCAAGAGCACAUGGAGCCCUUUCAGUGGCCCCAUAGGACUCCGUGGGCUUACACAUCUGGUGUACUCUCUACCCACUUCCUUUACCCCGUGCCUUCUCCACACUGACUCUCAGGAAGACAUCAGUGACCAAAGAGGGGCGUGGCUGCAGCCUCCAGACUGUGUUCCUGGAUAAAGCCUUUCCCAGUUAUUUCACCGGCGGCUAAGUGGGCAUCUAAUGAACACUGUGACUUCGUUUUCCAGCACUUAGUGUCCACCACUAAAACUCUGAGAACAGAAGAGGCGGAGGUUAGAGACACGCAUCGGGAUCAAUC
This is a long non-coding RNA of Bos taurus (domestic cattle), 878 nucleotides long. Lineage: Eukaryota; Metazoa; Chordata; Mammalia; Artiodactyla; Bovidae. The record is from Ensembl.